CUAUCACAGUUAUAGUCUUCCCCGAAGGCGGAGCCACCAUCUUAGUCACCACAGAAUGUUCAGCACCUGUGUCGAUCAUGAAAGAACUUCUCUUUCCUCCUAUUGCUACAUCGACCAUAGGCUACGCUCGACCAAGUGGGAUGGAGCCCGGUCGGUAUAAAUAGUCUUCCAUGAUAGUGUCAGCCAGACCCACAAAAUCUCUAUCCUCU
Non-coding RNA from Pelobates cultripes (western spadefoot toad), 209 nucleotides. The record is from the annotation of a GenBank genome assembly. Lineage: Eukaryota; Metazoa; Chordata; Amphibia; Anura; Pelobatidae.